This 253-nucleotide ribosomal RNA is filed under the name uncultured bacterium. RNAcentral's name for it is "partial 16S ribosomal RNA". It matches the Rfam family "Bacterial small subunit ribosomal RNA", at positions 524 to 776 of the family's 1533-position model. The record is from RNAcentral.
UCCGUAGGGGGCUAGCGUUGUCCGGAAUCAUUGGGCGUAAAGCGCGUGUAGGCGGCCCGGUAAGUCCGCUGUGAAAGUCGGGGGCUCAACCCUCGGAUGCCGGUGGAUACUGUCGGGCUUGAGUACGGAAGAGGCGAGUGGAAUUCCUGGUGUAGCGGUGAAAUGCGCAGAUAUCAGGAGGAACACCGGUGGCGAAGGCGGGUCUCUGGGCCUGUCCUGACGCUGAGGCGCGAAAGCUAGGGGAGCGAACAGG